UUCGGAAGGGAUAACCGCUGAAAGCAUCUAAGCGGGAAGCCUGUUCCAAGAUUAGGAUUCUCACCACCUUGAGUGGGUAAGACCCCCUACAGACUAUGGGGUUGAUAGGCCAGAACUGGAAGCGCAGUAAUGCGUGCAGGUGACUGGUACUAAUCGGUCGAGGACUUACCACACA
Molecule: ribosomal RNA, 175 nt
Filed under: Tsukamurella pseudospumae
Lineage: Bacteria; Bacillati; Actinomycetota; Actinomycetes; Mycobacteriales; Tsukamurellaceae
Description: partial 23S ribosomal RNA
Rfam family: Bacterial large subunit ribosomal RNA
Source: RNAcentral